GACGAACGCUGGCGGCGCGCCUAAUACAUGCAAGUUGAGCGAUGAAGAUUGGUGCUUGCACCAAUUUGAAGAGCAGCGAACGGGUGAGUAACGCGUGGGGAAUCUGCCUUUGAGCGGGGGACAACAUUUGGAAACGAAUGCUAAUACCGCAUAACAACUUUAAACAUAAGUUUUAAGUUUGAAAGAUGCAAUUGCAUCACUCAAAGAUGAUCCCGCGUUGUAUUAGCUAGUUGGUGAGGUAAAGGCUCACCAAGGCGAUGAUACAUAGCCGACCUGAGAGGGUGAUCGGCCACAUUGGGACUGAGACACGGCCCAAACUCCUACGGGAGGCAGCAGUAGGGAAUCUUCGGCAAUGGACGAAAGUCUGACCGAGCAACGCCGCGUGAGUGAAGAAGGUUUUCGGAUCGUAAAACUCUGUUGGUAGAGAAGAACGUUGGUGAGAGUGGAAAGCUCAUCAAGUGACGGUAACUACCCAGAAAGGGACGGCUAACUACGUG
Molecule: ribosomal RNA, 497 nt
Filed under: uncultured bacterium
Lineage: Bacteria
Description: partial 16S ribosomal RNA
Rfam family: Bacterial small subunit ribosomal RNA
Source: RNAcentral